Molecule: ribosomal RNA, 253 nt
Filed under: uncultured bacterium
Lineage: Bacteria
Description: partial 16S ribosomal RNA
Rfam family: Bacterial small subunit ribosomal RNA
Source: RNAcentral
UACGGGGGGGGCAAGCGUUGUUCGGAAUUACUGGGCGUAAAGGGCUCGUAGGCGGCCAACUAAGUCGGACGUGAAAUCCCUCGGCUUAACCGGGGAACUGCGUCCGAUACUGGAUGGCUUGAGGUUGGGAGAGGGAUGCGGAAUUCCAGGUGUAGCGGUGAAAUGCGCAGAUAUCAGGAAGAACACCCGUGGCUAAGGCGGCUCUCUAGUACGGUACUGACGCUGAGACGCGAAAGCGUGGGGAGCGAACAGG